This 181-nucleotide non-coding RNA is filed under the name Asticcacaulis sp. Lineage: Bacteria; Pseudomonadati; Pseudomonadota; Alphaproteobacteria; Caulobacterales; Caulobacteraceae. The record is from RNAcentral.
CCUCCGCCGCGUGCAACCGGUGCCGCAGCAAUGCGGCUUAAAAGGGAAGCGGAUGUAACUUCCGCACUGUCCCCGCAACUGUAAGCGUCGAGUAUUCUUCACAUGCCACUGGAUCAACCGGGAAGGCGAAGGAUGCGCCCGAGACGCGAGUCAGGAGACCUGCCGCUGCUGUCGUCCUUCG